This 68-nucleotide transfer RNA is filed under the name Marmota marmota marmota (Alpine marmot). It matches the Rfam family "tRNA". From Rfam's summary of the family: Transfer RNA (tRNA) molecules are approximately 80 nucleotides in length. Their secondary structure includes four short double-helical elements and three loops (D, anti-codon, and T loops). The record is from Rfam by way of RNAcentral. Lineage: Eukaryota; Metazoa; Chordata; Mammalia; Rodentia; Sciuridae. RNAcentral also lists the same sequence under 3 other names.
GUUGUAGCUCAGUGGUAGAGUACUUGCCUUGCAUGUGUGAGGUACUGGGUUCAAUUCUCAGUACAACA